RNAcentral lists this ribosomal RNA (377 nucleotides) under uncultured Gammaproteobacteria bacterium. RNAcentral describes it as "bacterial SSU rRNA". It matches the Rfam family "Bacterial small subunit ribosomal RNA", at positions 521 to 896 of the family's 1533-position model. The record is from RNAcentral. Lineage: Bacteria; Pseudomonadati; Pseudomonadota; Gammaproteobacteria.
UAAUACUGAGGGUGCAAGCGUUAAUCGGAAUUACUGGGCGUAAAGCGAGUGUAGGCGGCAAUAUAAGUCGGAUGUGAAAGCCCUGGGCUCAACCUGGGAAUUGCAUUCGAUACUGUAUAGCUAGAAUUUGAGAGAGGGAAGUGGAAUUCCGGGUGUAGCGGUGAAAUGCGUAGAUAUCCGGAGGAACACCAGUGGCGAAGGCGGCUCCCUGGCUCAAAAUUGACGCUGAGGCUCGAAAGCGUGGGGAGCAAACAGGAUUAGAUACCCUGGUAGUCCACGCCCUAAACGAUGUCAACUAGACGUUGGGCUUAUUAAUAAGCUUAGUGUCGAAGCUAACGCGUUAAGUUGACCGCCUGGGGAGUACGGCCGCAAGGUUG